AUUGAACGCUGGCGGCAGGCCUAACACAUGCAAGUCGAGCGGUAGAGAGAAGCUUGCUUCUCUUGAGAGCGGCGGACGGGUGAGUAAUGCCUAGGAAUCUGCCUGAUAGUGGGGGAUAACGUCCGGAAACGGACGCUAAUACCGCAUACGUCCUACGGGAGAAAGUGGGGGCUCUUCGGACCUCACGCUAUCAGAUGAGCCUAGGUCGGAUUAGCUAGUUGGUGGGGUAAAGGCUUACCAAGGCGACGAUCCGUAACUGGUCUGAGAGGAUGAUCAGUCACACUGGAACUGAGACACGGUCCAGACUCCUACGGGAGGCAGCAGUGGGGAAUAUUGGACAAUGGGCGAAAGCCUGAUCCAGCCAUGCCGCGUGUGUGAAGAAGGUCUUCGGAUUGUAAAGCACUUUAAGUUGGGAGGAAGGGUCGUUACCUAAUACGUGGCGAUUUUGACGUUACCGACAGAAUAAGCACCGGCUAACUCUGUGCCAGCCGCCGCGGUAA
Molecule: ribosomal RNA, 500 nt
Filed under: uncultured bacterium
Lineage: Bacteria
Description: partial 16S ribosomal RNA
Rfam family: Bacterial small subunit ribosomal RNA
Source: RNAcentral